GCCGUGCAGUAAUAACUCACAGAGCCAAGUGCUCGCUCCCCUGAACAGCGACGGAGCCACCCCACAGGACAAGGCCGGGACAUUCCACAGAGCGUUUGGUUCCCCUCCACACUCAGGGCUGGAGCCUGGGCUCUCAAAGGUUGCUGCACUUGGGAUGAAAAAGCAGCAUGAGAUGUCCCUCCGCCCGGGAGAGAGGGAGGAUUUUAAGUUGACAUUUACCAAACUCUAAAAUGCAGGCGCUUUUUGAGAGGGAAACACUCCAACUAUUUAGCCGGGGUGGUGGGUUCAAAGCGAUGGGAACAGAGCAAUGGCUCCAAGCUGCUCCAGCCUCCCAGCCAGCCCGCUGCACCACUGAGGAGAGAGGGAUCGAUUAUCCCCCUUAGAACAGGAUUUCAGAGCAUCUUGCAGGACCUGAGGACCAUCAGGACAGCAGCUCAUCCCUUCCAAAGGAGGGCAGCACAGCUGGGAGGUGCUGGCCCUGGCAGUGGCAAAGAGGCCACAAUUCAGUCCUGGGACACAGGCACCCACAAAGCCUGGGGGAGGCUGGAGCAGCCCUUUUCCCCAGAGCGAUUUCAGCAUCAAUCCUGACCAGCUCCUACAGGACAGAGCCACAAGAGACGCUUCCCAUGAAGACACAAACAGCCAAGAGGCAUCACUAACUGCUAUGAAAGCUGCCCAGCUUCCCAAGGAAUUGGUUUUCCUUGGCAACCUGACUCCAAAUCCAGUAAGAGAGGAUCAGUGCAAGACCUGGCCUGCUCAUUACAUUAACUCCAAGGAACAAGCCAGACUCUUGACUGGGCUUGAUAGAAAACCAACACAAAUGAGAGCAGAAUUGAACUUUCAAGCCACUCCUCCACCUAAAAAGAGGUAAAGGUAAAAGAAACAUGGCUAUUUUUGGUUUACAGGUCAGCACAGACACUCCUGUGCCUCUGCUCCAUAGAAGCAUUCACCCACCCCAGGAUGCCAACAGUCACACCAGGAGCUCAAGGCCACUCUGGGACAGGGUUGGACAGCUGCCAUUGCAUGACUGCACUGCCGAGUCAUCCAACUGGAGCAUUUGCUGAGGGGAAGCUCAUCCAGGCUGGGAUGCUGCAAGGACUGUGUAACUUUUGGACACUCACAACCCCACUACCAAUAAAGGCAUCCUCCACACUCCUCCAGGGGUAAUUCUGGGCACCACCAGCCACUAAGCAAGGAAAGGUUUGUGGGUGGGAGCAUAAGGAUCCUCAUGUCUCCUGGGAGUGUCACCUGGUUGGGAUACAGGUCAGAUUGGUGCACCCCAGCAGGGCAUGAAGGAAGGGACUCAUAUACAGAGCAAAAGUCUUCUCCCUCUCUUGAUCCACCUCAGCCAGGAAGGUUCAUACCCUCUCAUUAGCUGACAGCCCUCCAUGAAGGAGUUUUCACCAACAUUCAGUGAGAUUCAGGCACAUAGCUACUUUUUGGGUUUGAUUUCUCUGUCUGUAUUCCUUGCACCCAUAAUUCAGGUAUAAAAGCCAUGCAGGUGAGGUCCUGGUGCAUUUUCUAUUUGAGACCAUGCAAGAAAGAAAAGGAAAAGGAGAUCAGUGCACAAGAGGUGCUUUUUCUCCAAGCCUGGGUCAGUGGGUAACAGCCAGUCCCUGCUGAGAGAGGAAUCAUGGAGGCAAAGAGCACUCAGGUUUCCCCUAAAAACUGGGAGCAGAUGCUGUGCAAGACACUGGACUGAAGUGCACAAUGCCCUUUAGCUUGGCAGUGGGAUGCAGCUGACCACUCACCUUUGCUGAGGAUAUACUCUUGGACUCCACAGGACAUUUCAUAUGCCUCUCACACACAGGCCCAUUACUCAGAUCUUUCUCUUCCCCACUCUUCUGGUUUUAUUCCUAUUCUUUACUCACACAUCCACCCAGAUCCUCCCCUCACCCAACAAACACCCACCUAAGCAAUAGCUUGUUUCAAUCACAAGAUGGUCCCUACUGCUGGGCCAGCAUUGCUCUUGCUGAGUGAGGGGGAAAGCAAAGAACCUUCUUCCCACUCAGGCAAGUCCACCCAGGGGAGGAACAGCACCAACCUCUCCCCAGCUGCACCCUUCCUCCUCCAGUCCUUUCUUUCCAAUUCCUUCACUUAGGUCAAAGCUGCUGUGCUCUGCACGUUCCUCCAUUACCCAGGGCUAAACACAUUGAAAGAUGACUGUACUUUACAGCAUAUGCAAAUAAUAAAGAAUAAAUAAUCCGUGAUCUCCUCAGCCAUUCUGAUAGAGCCAAAUGGGGACAGAACUUACCUUCAAAAGUCCUGAGAUGCAGCAUCUCAAGUGCAAGAUUUUUAAGAGGCCUGAAUAGACAGAGAUGGAAUUCAGCAGAUUUA
Non-coding RNA from Taeniopygia guttata (zebra finch), 2337 nucleotides. Lineage: Eukaryota; Metazoa; Chordata; Aves; Passeriformes; Estrildidae. The record is from RefSeq and is a predicted model, not a curated record.